Molecule: small RNA, 148 nt
Filed under: Macaca fascicularis (crab-eating macaque)
Lineage: Eukaryota; Metazoa; Chordata; Mammalia; Primates; Cercopithecidae
Description: Metazoan signal recognition particle RNA (ENSMFAG00000054896.1)
Source: Rfam by way of RNAcentral
GCCAGGCAUGGUGGCUCAUGCCUGUAAUCCCAGCUACUUGGGAGGCUGAGGCAGGAGAAUCACUUGAACUUGGGAGGCAGAGGUUGCAGUGAGCAGAGAUAGCACCACUGCACUCCAGCCUAAGUGACAGAGUGAGACUCUGUUUCAA